RNAcentral lists this long non-coding RNA (1013 nucleotides) under Homo sapiens (human). Its description in RNAcentral is "CDKN2B and CDKN2A antisense cis and trans regulatory RNA 1". The stretch from base 268 to 411 matches the Rfam family "CDKN2B antisense RNA 1 convserved region 3". The record is from RNAcentral. Lineage: Eukaryota; Metazoa; Chordata; Mammalia; Primates; Hominidae.
CUCGUCGAAAGUCUUCCAUUCUUCAAACUAGAUUAUUUAAAAAUGAAAAAGGAAGAAAGGAAAGCGAGGUCAUCUCAUUGCUCUAUCCGCCAAUCAGGAGGCUGAAUGUCAGUUUUGAACUAAAAGCCGCUCCGCUCCUCUUCUAGAUUUGGAAAACAAGCGAAAUUAAACUAAACCGCUGCACGCCUCUGACGCGACAUCUGGACACGGCGCGGCGCUGGCGCUGCCGGAGCUGUCGACCCGGCCUGGCGCCGGACUAGUGUCCCUUUUGAUGAGAAGAAUAAGCCUCAUUCUGAUUCAACAGCAGAGAUCAAAGAAAAGACUUCUGUUUUCUGGCCACCAGAUAUAUGUUAUCUGUGCUUAAAGAAUUGAAAAACACACAUCAAAGGAGAAUUUUCUUGGAAAGAGAGGGUUCAAGCAUCACUGUUAGGUGUGCUGGAAUCCUUUCCCGAGUCAGUACUGCUUUCUAGAAGAAAACCGGGGAGAUCUAUUUGGAAUGUAUCUAACUCCAAAGAAACCAUCAGAGGUAACAGAUUGGCUUCUCUCACAUGGCAAGAAACAUUGCUGCUAGCACUUCCCGAGUUCUACGUUCUACAACAUCCACCACUGCUAUGUCUCACAGUCCAGACUUGGAGUACAAGUAAUAAGAAGAAUAAAACUUAAUCCCUUAAGUAGAUUCACCAUAAGUUAGCUCAGAGCAAUUCCAGUGCAAGUAUGGUCUGUGAUCCAGUAGUAUCUUACAGACAGCAAGUUGAACAUUGUGGGAUGCAUGAGCUAUUGAGGCCUUUGCAGCUUUCUGCUACAUGGAGGCUAGGGCCAGAGUCAAGAUUUAUGCUUUGCAGCACACUGGUCAGCUGUUUUUGCAAAUCAGAUUAAAUGAUUUUUAAAUGAGGCUGAGAGCAUGGGAGAUACUAAUGUGUGUUUCCUUGUGAGCUACUGCAUAAGUUAGGAAAUUGAAAUACAGAAAGAUGAAAAGUGAUUUGCCCAAGCAUAUAGAUCAAAGCUGUGGCAGA